GUUUGAUAGGAUUCUUAUGAUGGUUAUUUAUCAGAAGCUUGUGAAGAUAUUUGGAGUGUCACUUUUAUAGUUCGCCAGUGAAACUGCCUAGAAUGCUCAGAUAUAAAAGACAGUGAUAUUUCAUCAGUGAACAUUUACACAGACAAGGAAAGGGAGGUGAUGCCCCUAUCAGUCCAGCUUGCUUUGCUUUCACAGUUCUGUUUAGAAGAGUGAGUAUUCUCAGGCAAUGUAACUGUAUUAAUGUGCAGUCAUCAUUAACUUUCAUACGUAUUUCCAGAGGAAACAUCCCGCAAACAAUGACCAUCUUCUCAGUGGGUCUAGUUCGAUGACUCACGUAAACUGCAAAUGUUUUACAUUCUCGAGCCUCUAAAGUGACAGAUUUGUUCAUAUUCUUUAGGAUCAGCUGACUAAGAGUGCCAAACAGCACUGUGCAAUUUUCUCCUUCUGACAUUGGCUAGCACUACAUUUACAGUAAGGCCUUGUUGGAGACGGAAGGCUGUACCUCUAGCUUACAGUAGCUCAUUUCUCCUUGGGUGGUCUUGGUGUUACCAAAAAAUGAAGAGAAUGGUACCAAAUAUGGGAAAGGGCCACAUGCAUGCAAGUUUAUACUUUCAAGUUACCAAGUGAACUGCUCCAAGGCCCUCAACCAUGUGAAAGUGCUGCUGUACUGGCCACUGCGAUGCUCAGUGGUUUGUGAAGUUCACGUGCCUCCUACAAAACUGUGAGCU
RNAcentral lists this long non-coding RNA (728 nucleotides) under Numida meleagris (helmeted guineafowl). RNAcentral describes it as "lncRNA (ENSNMEG00000009587.1)". The record is from RNAcentral. Lineage: Eukaryota; Metazoa; Chordata; Aves; Galliformes; Numididae.